RNAcentral lists this microRNA (18 nucleotides) under Homo sapiens (human). RNAcentral describes it as "hsa-miR-320e". Its record names the gene hsa-miR-320e. The record is from miRBase by way of RNAcentral. Lineage: Eukaryota; Metazoa; Chordata; Mammalia; Primates; Hominidae.
AAAGCUGGGUUGAGAAGG